This is a long non-coding RNA of Lepisosteus oculatus (spotted gar), 377 nucleotides long. RefSeq lists it as uncharacterized. NCBI's taxonomy places the organism in Eukaryota, Metazoa, Chordata, Actinopteri, Semionotiformes, Lepisosteidae. The record is from RefSeq and is a predicted model, not a curated record.
UGUCCAGGAUGUAUCAUGCUUUGUGCCUGUUGCUUGCUGGGAUAGGUUCCGGUCCCCCUUUAACUCUGGAUUGGAUGAAGUGGUUAGAAAAUGGACAGGGAAUAUUGAGGGAACAAGCAACAUGAACCACAAGGUGGUUUCUCUAAUGAAAGCUACAUAAAAGUUUGGCUAUACAAUCUGUGACAUCAUGAAACAGGGGCACUGCUUUUGGAUAGAAGCAGAGAACCACAGGAGUGCUGCAUAUCCAAGACAGAUACAGCAACAUCACUAAGGCAAUAGCAGUAAAUUAUCACAACCCAAAGCAUGAUCUUUUUUUCGUACUACAAACCACACAUGCUAGGUGGGUCAAAUGGUCCCCAUCAUUUGAAAACAUUGUG